RNAcentral lists this ribosomal RNA (460 nucleotides) under uncultured bacterium. Its description in RNAcentral is "partial 16S ribosomal RNA". It matches the Rfam family "Bacterial small subunit ribosomal RNA", at positions 28 to 507 of the family's 1533-position model. The record is from RNAcentral.
GACGAACGCUGGCGGCGUGCUUAACACAUGCAAGUCGAGCGGUAAGGCCUCUUCGGGGGUACACGAGCGGCGAACGGGUGCGUAACACGUGGGUGACCUGCCCUCAGCUCUGGGAUAAGCCUGGGAAACUGGGUCUAAUACCGGAUAUGACCUUUCCUCGCAUGGGGUUUGGUGGAAAGUUUUUUCGGCUGGGGACGGGCCCGCGGCCUAUCAGCUUGUUGGUGGGGUGAUGGCCUACCAAGGCGACGACGGGUAGCCGGCCUGAGAGGGCGACCGGCCACACUGGGACUGAGACACGGCCCAGACUCCUACGGGAGGCAGCAGUGGGGAAUAUUGCGCAAUGGGCGGAAGCCUGACGCAGCGACGCCGCGUGGGGGAUGACGGCCUUCGGGUUGUAAACCUCUUUCGACCCCGACGAAUUUGGACGGUAGGGGUAGAAGAAGCACCGGCCAACUACGUG